GGGAUACCUAAAUUUCCCAUAGCAAACUGCUUAGUAACACAUGAUCAACUUGCCCUAUGGAGAAAUAUAACCUCGGGAAACUGAGGAUAAUGAUUCAUAGUUGAAUAGGCUUGGAAAAGUUUUUCAAUGAAAGGGAUAAGAAAAAUGGUUCUUAUUCGCCAUAGGAUAGGAUCGUGCUCGAUUAUGGUUGUUGGUGAGGUAACGGCUCACCAAGCCGAUAAUCGAUAGGGGCCGUGAGAGCGGGAGCCCCAAGAUGGGUACUGAGACAGCGACCCAGGCCUUACGAGGCGCAGCAGGUACGAAACCUCCGCAAUACACGAAAGUGUGACGGGGUUACCCAAAGUGUUCUUAUUGAACUGUGGCAGGUGAGUAAUGUCCCCUGCUAGAAAGGAGAGGGCAAGGCUGGUGCCAGCCGCCGCGGUAAAACCAGCUCUUCAAGUGGUCGGGAUAAUUAUUGGGCUUAAAGUGUCCGUAGCCGGUUUAGUAAGUUCCUGGUAAAAUCAGGUAGCUUAACUAUCUGUAUGCUAGGAAUACUGCUAUACUAGAGGGCGGGAGAGGUCUGAGGUACUACAGGGGUAGGGGCGAAAUCUUAUAAUCCUUGUAGGACCACCAGUGGCGAAGGCGUCAGACUGGAACGCGCCUGACGGUGAGGGACGAAAGCCAGGGGAGCGAACCGGAUUAGAUACCCGGGUAGUCCUGGCCGUAAACGAUGCAUACUAGGUGAUGGCACGGCCAUG
RNAcentral lists this ribosomal RNA (737 nucleotides) under uncultured archaeon. RNAcentral describes it as "bacterial SSU rRNA". It matches the Rfam family "Archaeal small subunit ribosomal RNA", at positions 64 to 787 of the family's 1478-position model. The record is from RNAcentral.